GAAAAAGUGACAGUAAAUUUGGCAUCUUCUCCCAUUUGAUUGUCUUAAUCCACAGCUCUCUCUUUUCCCCCUCUUCUAGUAAGUCAUUCAAAUUUAAGAAUGGAGUUUUUCUUUUGGUAUUGGAGCAAAUGGAGGGAAAACACAAAUUGCAACUGUUAGGAUGUCAUCAGUGUCAGGGGCGGACUGGCCAUCGGGAGAACGGGGACUUUUCCCAGGGCUGGCCGUGAAACGGGUCAACUCGUUAUGCCGAACGGGCCGCUACUGGCUGAAGGGGCAGCAAAAAAGUGCCAUGAUAUGCUGAAGGGUGCCACUAUAUGCAGAAAAGGACAGCGACACCAAUCUUUCUCCUGUCUGAUGUUCUGGCAAGGGAAUGGGACAGUACUUGUCUUUCCAGGACGUUGCUUUUUGCAUUGGUCUGCUCAUCAGCCACUGGACUGUGGGGGCAGAUGAGCCAACGCCUGCCACGGUCUGCGAGCCAGAGCCAACGCCUGCCACGGUCUGCGAGCCUGAGCCCACGCCAGCCACGGUCAGCGAGCCUGAGCCCACGCCAGCCACGGUCAGCGAGCCUGAGCCCACGCCAGCCACGGUCAGUGAGCCUGAGUCCACGCCAGGCCUCCGCCUCUAGAGCCUCCUACGGCACCACCUCCCUCGGCUCAGCCUCCAGAGCCUCCUACUGCUCCGCCUCCCACGGUUCAACCUCCCGAACCUGUCCUUGCCCUGUGGCCGCCUGCUGAACCUGUCCUUGCCCUGUGGCCAGCUCCCAGGCCUCCUGAACCUGUCCUUGCCCUGUGGCCUGCUCCAAGGCCUCCUGAACCUGUCCUUGUCCUGUGGCCUGCUCCAAGGCCUCCUGAACCUGUCCUUGUCCUGUGGCCGCCUGCCAGGCCUCCUGAACCUGUCCUUGACCUGUGGCCAGCUCUCAGGCCUCCUGAACCUGUCCUUGCCCUGUGGCCAGCUCCCAGGCCACCUGACCCAGUCCUCGUCUUGUGCUCCCCAUGGACUGCCUACCUACCCUCUGUGCCCCCUUGGACUGCCUGUCUGCCCCUUGUGCUCCCGUGGACUGCCUACCUACCCUCUGUGCCCCCUUGGACUGUCUGUCUGCCUCUUGUGCCCCCUUGGACUGCCCGUCUGCCCUCUGUGCCCCCUUGGUCUGCCAGUCCCCCCCUCAUUCCUUGGACGAUUUUGUUUUGUUUUUUUGUGUAUGUUUUGUUUUGUUUAGGAUCGUCUGGAAUCUGAUCCUUUGAGGGGGGGUUAUGUUACGAUCCCUGGUUGUCUGCCCCGUGUUUUCUGUGUCACCGUCACCAUGUUUCCCUGUCCUCAUCAUUCUGUCAUUGUUCGCACCUGAUUGUCGUUUGUAUCAUCAUGUGUCUGUGUACUUAAACCCUGCUGUUCCUCCAUUCCCUUGUCGUUCGUUGUUCUGACUGUUUUGAUGUCUCUGAAGGUUCCGAUGUUUACUCUUGUUUCCUGUCUUGCCAUGUUCAUCCUGCCUUGUUUACCCAGUCCGUGUUCCUUCGUUGUUUUCAUGUUUUAGUUUCAGUUUUCCCAUCGUGGUUGUUUCAUUUGUUCUUGUCUGUUUAUUUCCACUAUUGUUCAAUAAACCCGCUUAUAGAUCCUCACUCCUCGUCUGCCUCCUUCUGCCAAACGUCACAGUCCAUGAUAUUAGGAUUGCCAACUUUUUUACCAGCCAGAUACGGAAAAUUCCAGCUCUCAAUACCGGCCUUUUUUUUUUUCAAUAGACUCCUGCACAAGACACUGAGCAACAUUUAAUGAAGUUCAUUUAGAGCUAGUUAUAGGAAUACAUUUGUAAAAAAAGUGCGGAUGGACACAAAAAUGCAUAUGGUGUGAACAGCCCCUAAAAUGCUUAAAAUUAUAACCACUUUAAUACAACGACUGGGAAGAACCAAAUCUCUAUCAAUCCUCUGAUUAGAAUACAAUUAAUCCUGCACUGGUUUCAAGUUAGCCAGACCUAUCUCAACCCUUUUAAUGAUUAAAAAGUCCUGUCUCUUCCAUCUCCCUCUUUCAUUUGUUAAUCGGUUUACCAUCUCAGCUCUUCGUACAUUCUCCUACUCUCUCUUUUUAACAUGUCUUUUCAUAUAGAGGUAUUCUCGUGCUAUAGAUUUUGAUUCAACUUAAAAGAAAAUAAAUAAAUAAAA
This is a long non-coding RNA of Xyrauchen texanus (razorback sucker), 2150 nucleotides long. RefSeq lists it as uncharacterized. The record is from RefSeq and is a predicted model, not a curated record. NCBI's taxonomy places the organism in Eukaryota, Metazoa, Chordata, Actinopteri, Cypriniformes, Catostomidae. The transcript is spliced from 4 exons.